UACGUAGGGGGCGAGCGUUGUCCGGAAUCAUUGGGCGUAAAGCGCGUGUAGGCGGCUUGGUAAGUCCGUUCUGAAAGCCCGGGGCUCAACCCCGGGAGGCGGAUGGAUACUGUCAAGCUCGAGUCCGGAAGAGGCAAGUGGAAUUCCGAGUGUAGAGGUGAAAUUCGUAGAUAUUCGGAGGAACACCAGUGGCGAAGGCGGCUCACUGGUCCGGUACUGACGCUGAGGUGCGAAAGCGUGGGGAGCAAACAGG
RNAcentral lists this ribosomal RNA (253 nucleotides) under uncultured bacterium. RNAcentral describes it as "partial 16S ribosomal RNA". It matches the Rfam family "Bacterial small subunit ribosomal RNA", at positions 524 to 776 of the family's 1533-position model. The record is from RNAcentral.